AAGUAUAUCCCUAAUAUCCGCGUCCAGCAAGUUGAGACCUUGAGAAAGCUUGGCAGUCAAGCCGUGCACAGAACUGACUAAUUAAAUCUUUGUCUGAAUCUUAUUUAUAUAAAAGUACCUUGAAUUUUUAAGUUUAAUUAUAAAGCAAACUGCACACUUUGCGGACAUGUUCAUGAGAAUAUAAUUUUUUUGUGUAACGAAAUCUACAACACUUGUCAAUCAUAUUGCAUGUUGUGUCUAAAAAUACCAUGUGGGCGUCCCACGGUCUAGACGGGUUUUGUGUCAGGCCCUAUUUCAAAUUGAAGCCUGAACUUCAGGUUACCAAAGGAUUGAACUUGGCGCUUGGUCUUUGUGUGAACCAGAUCGAAUUACUACAACACGUGAUAUAUUCUAAGCAUGCUAAUUGGUUGAAACUCUGGAACUUCCACUUGUCGCAAAUUAUAUUCAGCAGAAUUCAGUAGCAGAACAUUCCACACGUUCAAAUUACAGAUUUAGGCCAGCAAAUAAAAAAUAUAGAUGAUUCGUCGACAAUUUCUGGCUACAUUCGAU
Non-coding RNA from Paramuricea clavata, 549 nucleotides. The record is from the annotation of a GenBank genome assembly. Lineage: Eukaryota; Metazoa; Cnidaria; Anthozoa; Malacalcyonacea; Plexauridae.